RNAcentral lists this transfer RNA (96 nucleotides) under Klebsiella huaxiensis. RNAcentral's name for it is "Klebsiella sp. WCHKl090001 tRNA-Ser(gct)". The record is from RNAcentral. Lineage: Bacteria; Pseudomonadati; Pseudomonadota; Gammaproteobacteria; Enterobacterales; Enterobacteriaceae.
GUCGGCAUUGCCGCGGGUGGAAUAGCCGGAGCGUUGCUGGCGCUUCAGGUUAAUGGCGAAUGGAUCCGCUGGCUGUUCGUUAUCUAUCUGCUGGCG